GGGCGCGUAGCUCAGUGGGAGAGCACCGUCUUCACACGGCGGGGGUCGCUGGUUCAAUCCCAGCCGCGCCCACCA
This 75-nucleotide transfer RNA is filed under the name Alphaproteobacteria bacterium. RNAcentral's name for it is "tRNA-Val". It matches the Rfam family "tRNA". From Rfam's summary of the family: Transfer RNA (tRNA) molecules are approximately 80 nucleotides in length. Their secondary structure includes four short double-helical elements and three loops (D, anti-codon, and T loops). Further hydrogen bonds mediate the characteristic L-shaped molecular structure. tRNAs have two regions of fundamental functional importance: the anti-codon, which is responsible for specific mRNA codon recognition, and the 3' end, to which the tRNAs corresponding amino acid is attached (by aminoacyl-tRNA synthetases). tRNAs cope with the degeneracy of the genetic code in two manners: having more than one tRNA (with a specific anti-codon) for a particular amino acid; and 'wobble' base-pairing, i.e. permitting non-standard base-pairing at the 3rd anti-codon position. RNAcentral also lists the same sequence under 3 other names. The record is from RNAcentral. Lineage: Bacteria; Pseudomonadati; Pseudomonadota; Alphaproteobacteria.